Long non-coding RNA from Prionailurus viverrinus (fishing cat), 625 nucleotides. RefSeq lists it as uncharacterized. The transcript is spliced from 3 exons. The record is from RefSeq and is a predicted model, not a curated record. NCBI's taxonomy places the organism in Eukaryota, Metazoa, Chordata, Mammalia, Carnivora, Felidae.
GCGCGUGCAAGUUUGCAUUUCUGCACCAACCCGGAUUCUGGCACCCCGUAGGCGCGCGAUACAUUUUCAGUGAAGAAGAAAAACAAAAACAAAGGGAAGGUGCCGGGCCACAGUUUGCAAGACUUCCAUUUUGUCAUGGCUGUAAGAAAGAGGAGGAAGAAGAGAUAACCAUGAGAACAGAACCGAUAUUAGGAAUUUGGCCCCAGGAAAGAAGUUUCCAGGGAAAGGCGUAGAGUCCACAGAUAUUCUGCACCACCCUCCCUGACCAGAAGGUGUUGUAUGUGGAAGGCGGAUGGGUGAGCCGGUUGGGGGUCUGUACAGCAUUCAUAUUUUGUAGAUUUUAAAAGAGAAAGAAAACAAGACGUGACUGGAGAAUCUGACAUUAUUUAACACCUGAGAAAAACCGUCACUGUGAACCAUCAGAUGAGGACAAAGCAGCCAAAUUUGGACAAAGACACCAAAUACUGUGUCUUUUUUAAAAGGUGCAGGGAAAAUAAAUAAACAAACAAACAAAUGAGUAAAGGUGCAGGGAAACCCAGCAACGUAGGAACCGUGGCUGUUUCUGAGUGUUUGGUGUUAGCUUUCGGGGUAUUUUCUGCGGUUUUCAAAUUUUCUACCAUGAACA